AGAAUCAACGCUGGCGGCGUGCCUAACACAUGCAAGUCGCACGAGAAAGGGUAGCAAUACCUGAGUAAAGUGGCGCACGGGUGAGUAACACGUGACUAAUCUACCCUCGAGUGGGGAAUAAACUGAGAGAAAUCUUAGCUAAUACCGCAUAACACCUACGAGUCAAAGCAGCAAUGCGCUUGGGGAGGAGGUCGCGGCCGAUUAGCUAGUUGGCGGGGUAAUGGCCCACCAAGGCGAUGAUCGGUA
This 246-nucleotide ribosomal RNA is filed under the name uncultured bacterium. RNAcentral describes it as "partial small subunit ribosomal RNA". It matches the Rfam family "Bacterial small subunit ribosomal RNA", at positions 26 to 285 of the family's 1533-position model. The record is from RNAcentral.